GCUGGGAUAGCUCAGCAGGUAGAACAUGAGGCUCUUGAUUUCAGGGUUGUGGGUUUGAGCCCCAUGCUGGGCA
Non-coding RNA from Podarcis lilfordi (Lilford's wall lizard), 73 nucleotides. The record is from the annotation of a GenBank genome assembly. NCBI's taxonomy places the organism in Eukaryota, Metazoa, Chordata, Lepidosauria, Squamata, Lacertidae.